This 553-nucleotide ribosomal RNA is filed under the name uncultured Nitrososphaerota archaeon. RNAcentral describes it as "bacterial SSU rRNA". It matches the Rfam family "Archaeal small subunit ribosomal RNA", at positions 325 to 879 of the family's 1478-position model. The record is from RNAcentral. Lineage: Archaea; Thermoproteati; Nitrososphaerota.
ACGGGGUGCAGCAGGCGCGAAACCUUUGCAAUGUGCGCAAGCACGACAAGGUUAAUCCGAGUGUUUCCUGCUAAAGGAAUCUUUUGUUAGUCGUAAAACCACUGAUGAAUAAGGGGUGGGCAAGUUCUGGUGUCAGCCGCCGCGGUAAAACCAGCACCUCAAGUGGUCAGGAGGAUUAUCGGGCCUAAAGCAUCCGUAGCCGGCUCUGCAAGUUUUCGGUUAAAUCCAUUUGCUUAACAAAUGGGCUGCCGAAAAUACUACAUAGCUAGGGAGUGGGAGAGGUAGACGGUAUUCGGUAGGAAGGGGUAAAAUCCUUUGAUCUAUUGAGGACCACCUAUGGCGAAGGCAGUCUACCAGAACACGUUCGACGGUGAGGGAUGAAAGCUGGGGGAGCAAACCGGAUUAGACACCCGGGUAGUCCCAGCUGUAAACGAUGCAGACUCGGUGAUGCACUGGCUUGUGGCCAGUGCAGUGCCGCAGGGAAGCCGUUAAGUUUGCCGCCUGGGAAGUACGUACGCAAGUAUGAAACUUAAAGGAAUUGGCGGGGGAGCAC